Suricata suricatta (meerkat) is the source of this 567-nucleotide long non-coding RNA. RefSeq lists it as uncharacterized. Lineage: Eukaryota; Metazoa; Chordata; Mammalia; Carnivora; Herpestidae. The record is from RefSeq and is a predicted model, not a curated record. The transcript is spliced from 3 exons.
GGGGAGGCAGCCACCACGCCGGAUGGAUCCCCGGGCAGCCCAGUUAGGGAGACAUUAAGGCCCCCUGCACCAGCUGGCACCAACUCUCCAGCCAAAUGAGUGAGCCUCCGUGGAAACAUCUUCCAGCCCCAGCUGAGCCUUCGCCUACUGUAGCCCCAACCUACCUCUGACUGAACCUCUAGAGAAUUCGUGCGGAGUCACCAAGCUAAGCUGCUCCUGAAUACUUGACCCACAGAAACUGAGAUCCAUGAUUACUUCCCCUUGAUUACUUUCUGCUGGUGGGGCAUCAGAAGACCAAAGCUCACACCCACGUUUAGAAGCUGUAUGACUUCUGGUAAAUUACUUUGAUGAGGCAACUAUAGGACCGUGCUAUACAGACACUCAACAGAUUUAAAUUCUUCUGAAGAUCAAAUAGACCUCACGGUACACUUGCCAGAUGAAAUAAAACAGGAAUCUGAAGAGCAACUUAGAGCAGGGUAGACAUGCCAGUAAUAUUUCUGGAAUCAAAAUACCUAUCUACUGGCCUAAUAAUUAACUCAAGAAUUUUACACUUUGUAUAUCUGAUAU